AUUUGGUUCAUUUCAUUCCGGUUUGGUUCUCCUAAGUCUUUUAUAAACCUUAUUACAAACCACAUUUCCUCUAUCUAGCUAGGACACAUAGAAGCUACCGCGUUCCGUUUCACUCCGACUUGAUGUUCCUUUCGUCACUCUGACUUGGUGUUCCUAUCGUCACUCUGACUUGGUGCUCCUAUCUAGCUCUACUAUCUUUUCUAUACGUUUGUUUGUUGAGGAUAUUCCUUUUUCUUUUGUUGGUCGAUGGUUCUCCUCUUUUUUCUAGAAGGUGGUCCUUCCGGUAUGUACUCUACUUUUUGAGGUCUUUCUUCGAUAUCCAAUUCCUAACCAUAGCUUGAGUUUCAUAUCUUCUUUCUGCUUUUGUUGGUCGCCUCCUCUUUGUCAAAAGUCUUUCUUUUAGAUAUUUUAUUCUCGACUGAAGGAGGUUCGUACUCGAUAUCCAAUUCUUGUCAAGGAAAGGUGUUGGUCUAGUUUCAUAAUUCUUUUUUCCUCUGUCGAUCGAGUAUCUUCUUUCUUCUUUCUUUGGUUGAAGGGCUUCCUCUUCUUUUCGAGAGUCGUCCCUUAAGAAGAAAGUACUCGGCAUAUUGAGGAAUGAAUUCGAUAUCCAAUUCCACAAUUCAAGGUCUUUUCCCUCCCUUUUUUUUUCUGUUUAGUUCUUCUUUUUUUGUUCAAGUUGAGGAAAAAAGUGGAAAGUGAGACUUUGUUGAAAAGCGACAAGUUGAAUUUCUCCCCUUCCUUUCCAGUUCUAUUCCAGUUGGAGAAGGGUAUCCGUGUCGUGUCGGGCUUGAGCCAUAUUUCACUAUUUCUAGCUCGUUUUAUUCUCGAGUAUAGUUCCUCGAUUCCAAACUAGGAAAUAUAGGAGCUAUCAUCUCCUUAUUCCGAUGCGACAUGCGAAAUGGAUUUGAUGGUCAUAUGGAAGAGAGGAAAUCUCUUGGAUUUCUGGGGCCAGCCCGAGGGUUUUUUAGUCUAUUUAAAAAGUGUAAAUCAAAUUCACCUUUUGUAAAUGUAAAAACAAUGUCUUUUAAAUUAAGUUAAGUAUAUUCUAUAAAGUGGAAAGUCUUGUCUUUCUAUGGUC
Molecule: long non-coding RNA, 1078 nt
Filed under: Amborella trichopoda
Lineage: Eukaryota; Viridiplantae; Streptophyta; Magnoliopsida; Amborellales; Amborellaceae
Description: long non-coding RNA (ATRI_LNC001505)
Source: RNAcentral